GUUUUAAUAAUUUAAUAAAAAUAUUGGUCUUGUAAACCAAAAUUAAGUAAUACUUUUAAAUCA
RNAcentral lists this transfer RNA (63 nucleotides) under Meloe proscarabaeus. Its description in RNAcentral is "tRNA-Thr". RNAcentral also lists the same sequence under 1 other name. Lineage: Eukaryota; Metazoa; Arthropoda; Insecta; Coleoptera; Meloidae. The record is from RNAcentral.